RNAcentral lists this long non-coding RNA (213 nucleotides) under Lathyrus oleraceus (garden pea). Its description in RNAcentral is "Pisum sativum (pea) long non-coding RNA (PSAT_LNC006106)". Lineage: Eukaryota; Viridiplantae; Streptophyta; Magnoliopsida; Fabales; Fabaceae. The record is from RNAcentral.
AAAAAACCAACAGCAUGGCAAAGGCAUAGUAAGGUAACAACAGUGACAACAGAAUUCGACCAACAACAACAGCAUGAGCAUAAUGAUGGGCACAAUAGUUGGUUUAAACAGCAGCAGCAUGGCUAACAUGAUUUACAUGGAUUUCUAAGCAAUACUCCCAAGGUUUCAAAAACAGCAGCAGGCUUUAACAGCAUUGGUAUAUUCAUCAUCAAU